CGGGCGAGGCGCCGGUCUAAGUCCCUUGGAACGGGGCGUCAUAGAGGGUGAGAAUCCCGUACGUAACCGGUGACCGAGUCCAUGUGAAGCUCCUUCGACGAGUCGAGUUGUUUGGGAAUGCAGCUCAAAAUAGGUGGUAAAUUUCAUCUAAAGCUAAAUACCGGCCAGAGACCGAUAGCGCACAAGUAGAGUGAUCGAAAGAUGAAAAGCACUUUGGAAAGAGAGUCAAAAAGUACGUGAAAUUGUUGAAAGGGAAGCGCUUGCAACCAGACCUGCCCGCGGGUGAUCAGCCGUCCUUCUGGGCGGUGCACUCGCCCGUGAUCAGGCCAGCAUCGGUUCGGGCGGCCGGAUAAAGACCUUGGGAACGUAGCUCCUCUCGGGGAGUGUUAUAGCCCUCGGUGCAAUGCGGCCAGCCUGGACCGAGGACCGCGCUUCGGCUAGGAUGCUGGCGUAAUGGUUGUAAGCGGCCCGUCUUGAAACACGGACCAAGGAGUCUAAUAUUUAUGCGAGUGUUUGGGUGUCAAACCCAUACGCGGAAUGAAAGUGAACGGAGGUGGGAACCCUUUACGGGGCGCACCAUCGACCGAUCCAGAUGUCUUCGGAUGGAUUUGAGUACGAGCAUAACUGUUGGGACCCGAAAGAUGGUGAACUAUGCCUGAAUAGGGUGAAGCCAGAGGAAACUCUGGUGGAGGCUCGCAGCGGUUCUGACGUGCAAAUCGAUCGUCAAAUUUGGGCAUAGGGGCGAAAGACUAAUCGAACCAUC
Molecule: ribosomal RNA, 763 nt
Filed under: Austroplaca lucens
Lineage: Eukaryota; Fungi; Ascomycota; Lecanoromycetes; Teloschistales; Teloschistaceae
Description: LSU rRNA
Rfam family: Eukaryotic large subunit ribosomal RNA
Source: RNAcentral